AUGUUGAAGGUAUUUCUCUAUCAGUACAGAGUGUUUUCUUUCCCUUUUGUUUUUAGUGAAAGUGUUGACCUUUUUCUUAGGGUUAGUUUUUCUUCUGUGUUUUUGAAUUCUUGUUCACAGGUUCAUCACAAGUUAAAAUUGCAUGUGUAUAUAUGGUACCUCUCACUCAAGUCUCCCACCCCAAUGAAGUUUGUUAAUUGCUGCAGAUGGGCUCUUCCUGAAGAUCCAGUCACUACAUCAUGGGCAGGUUGGCUCAGAUCUUAUCUAGGCUUUCACUGCUUCCUUCCGCUGCUAUGGAUGUUUAAUUUAUAUAAGCCUAUAAGCUCUUUCUUGACUCAGCCCCCUAGUUUCUUGAAUAGUAAACAAACAAGUAGUGUACCUCCUUUAUCCAACCUGCACACCAAUACAGCUUUGGUCUCCAUCCUGAAAGAAAACCUUCAGAGCAUCUGCCUGCUUGUAAACAGAUUUAGGUAGACUCAUGUAUUAAGUCCCUACUUAACACACUGUCUUUUAUUUUUUUAAGUCCAAAGAUGUUUCUAUUUUAUCAAAAGUAAAUGUACUUUUAUUCUGAGAGACAGUGCCCAACUGAAUUCCAGAGGAUAUCUCAAUUUUAUCCUCAAUAGUCAUGUAUGACAAAGCAUCAUGAGGAUGUUAUCUAACUGUUAGGUUUUUGCCUAAUAGGUGUUUUGGUUUGAAUUUCUCUUACUUUGAAUGAGGUUAUUAUUAACAGCUUCUCAGAUGCUCACAAGCUAUUUGCAUUUAAUUUUCUGUGAAUUAUCUAUUCACAUCUUUGCCCCCAAUUUUUUUUUUAUUAGAUUGCAGGGCUUUUAAAACUGAGUUUGCAGGACUUAUACAUAAGAACACCCUUUGUGAUAUGAACUGCGGAUAAGUUUUGUUAGUUCUUAAUCUGUAUUCUGUUGUAUUAUGACAGAUUUUGGCAUUCUGAGUGCUGUUUUAAAAAACUGUGGUAAACAAAACACAUAAAACAUCAACUAAGACACUUUUAAAUGCAUAGUGUAAUAGUGUUAACCAUAUGCACAUGUUGUGCAAUGGAUCUCUAGAACUUUUUCAUCAUGCAAA
Molecule: long non-coding RNA, 1080 nt
Filed under: Capra hircus (goat)
Lineage: Eukaryota; Metazoa; Chordata; Mammalia; Artiodactyla; Bovidae
Description: lncRNA (ENSCHIG00010009662.1)
Source: RNAcentral